Molecule: non-coding RNA, 420 nt
Organism: Ictidomys tridecemlineatus (thirteen-lined ground squirrel)
Lineage: Eukaryota; Metazoa; Chordata; Mammalia; Rodentia; Sciuridae
Source: RefSeq, a predicted model, not a curated record
AUCUCUCCUAGUGGGUAUCUUCCUAAUGAAGGACACAGCACAGGCCACUCUCCUCCAGACCAGCUGGCACUUCUGCUGCUUAGAGUUCACCAACAACAGGCUCCUCUCUGCAGAGAAGCACGUGGACUCGUGUGUGCCUGCCUAGGGAGGGUCCAAAUCUGACCUGACCUAGGCAUGAGCCAGAGAUGGCAGAGGCUAUCCGACAGCAUCCAGAAGAGUCAACAAACCUAGGUAAAGGAUGAGAUGAUACAUUUCCAGCUUCAUGGGCCACAGACUCUUGCAACUACUCAAUUCUGCCUUUGUAAAACAGAAACAGCCAGAGACAAUGAGUAUAAAUGCACAAGCAUGACCGUCACCAAAACGCCACCUAUGAAAGCCGAAGUCCAAAUGUCAUAUUAAUUUUCACGUGUCACGAAACCA